CCUACGGGAGGCAGCAGUGGGGGAUAUUGGACAAUGGGGGGAACCCUGAUCCAGCGACGCCGCGUGAGUGAAGAAGUAUCUCGGUAUGUAAAGCUCUAUCAGCAGGGAAGAAGAAAUGACGGUCCCUGCGUAAGAAGCCCCGGCUAACUACGGGCCAGACGCCGCGGUAAUCCGUAGGGGGCAAGCGUUAUCCGGUAUUACUGGGUGUAACGGGAGCGUAGACGGUGCUGUAAGGCUGGAGUGAAAGGCGGGGGCCCACCCCCCGGACUGCUCUGGAAACUAUGUGACUGGAGUGCAGGAGAGGUGAGCGGAAUUCCUAGUGUAGCGGUGAAAUGCGUAGAUAUUAGGAGGAACACCAGUGGCGAAGGCGGCGCACUGGACUGUAACUGACGUUGAGGCCCGAAAGCGUGGGGAGCAAACAGGAUUAGAUACCCUAGUAGUC
This 442-nucleotide ribosomal RNA is filed under the name uncultured bacterium. RNAcentral's name for it is "partial 16S ribosomal RNA". It matches the Rfam family "Bacterial small subunit ribosomal RNA", at positions 338 to 795 of the family's 1533-position model. The record is from RNAcentral.